This 255-nucleotide ribosomal RNA is filed under the name uncultured bacterium. Its description in RNAcentral is "partial 16S ribosomal RNA". It matches the Rfam family "Bacterial small subunit ribosomal RNA", at positions 99 to 354 of the family's 1533-position model. The record is from RNAcentral.
CGGACGGGUGAGUAACGCGUGGGGAACCUGCCCUAUACAGGGGGAUAACAGUUAGAAAUGACUGCUAAUACCGCAUAAGCGCACGGAGCCGCAUGGCGCUGAGUGAAAAACGAUAGUGGUAUAGGAGGGACCCGCGUCUGAUUAGGUAGUUGGUGAGGUAACGGCCCACCAAGGCGACGAUCAGUAGCCGGACUGAGAGGUUGGCCGGCCACAUUGGGACUGAGAUACGGCCCAGACUCCUACGGGAGGCAGCAG